UUUCAUUCUUUUCUCUCGAGAUCGAAAUUCUCUCUCUCUCUUUCCGACUAAAGCCACCACCACUAUCGCUUCCUCCGCGGCUGCAAAUAGAUUCAAAAACACCUCCUCCGCCGUCACCUCCGCCACUGCAAAUAGAUUCAUGAAUCAAUGGAUAACCCAAGAACUCAAAUCUAUUUGUGAUUCAGAUUCAUAUUCCAGAUUCGAUAUCGGAUUCCUUUCUGUGAAUCAAUCGAAUUAGGAAGUCCAUUAUAAUCAGCAGGGAUUGUUGCUUUUAGAAGGUCAAGGAAUCUAUCGGUUGGGAGAAAAUUGGUAUCAAGUUCAAUCGGGUGAUGCAAUUUGGAUGGUACCAUUUGUACCAUAGUGGGGCGGCAACUGACCGUGGUGGAGCAUCCUUAACUUUGAUUUGUUUUACCGUCUUUUUCGAUAAAAGGAAGCUACACCAUGAGUUACGGCAAGGAAGACAAGUAAGGUUGUUGACACCACUGGCGGCGGUGGUGAUGGCGGGCUGGUGGUGGCGGUGGCGGCAAAGGACUGGCGGUGGUGGUGGCGGCGGCGGCGACGGACUGGUGGUGGUGGUGGUGAUUGAUAUGUGGUGGAGCUAGCGGUGGCGGUGGCGGUGGUGGAAUAGUAGUUGAAUGUUGGUGGUGGUGGUGAUUGAUAUGUGGUGGAGCUAGUGGCGGUGGUUGUGGAAUGGUGGUGGAUAUGUGAUGGAGCUAGUGGUGGUGGCGUGGUGGAUGAAGUGGUAGAAUUUUUUUUGUUGUAUUUUGAAAUAAAGAAAUAUAUUUUAUGAAUGAGGGUAUUAAGGUAAUCUAUUUUUAAAGGGAUAAGAUUUUUAAAUGAUACGAGUAUAUUUAUUGUUGAAUAAGGGUAUAUUUGUUGGGUAUCAAAACUAGGGGUAUAGAAUUAAUGUACCCAAAAAGCUUAACUUCAAAUACAAUGCCGUCUAAAUUUUGUUAAGAAAAA
Long non-coding RNA from Papaver somniferum (opium poppy), 963 nucleotides. RefSeq lists it as uncharacterized. The transcript has 5 exons. The record is from RefSeq and is a predicted model, not a curated record. Lineage: Eukaryota; Viridiplantae; Streptophyta; Magnoliopsida; Ranunculales; Papaveraceae.